AAUGAACGCUGGCGGCGCGCCUAAUACAUGCAAGUCGAGCGAGAAGACGUAGCAAUACGUUUGUAAAGCGGCGAACGGGUGAGGAAUACAUGGGUAACCUACCCUCGAGUGGGGAAUAACUAGCCGAAAGGUUAGCUAAUACCGCGUACGCUUCUUGGACUUCGGUUCAGGGAGGAAAGCGAUGCCGAGGGUAUCGCGCUCUUGGAUGGGCUCAUGUCCUAUCAGCUUGUUGGNGAGGUAACGGCUCACCAAGGCUUCGACGGGUAGCUGGUCUGAGAGGACGAUCAGCCACACUGGCACUGCGACACGGGCCAGACUCCUACGGGAGGCAGCAGUAAG
This 339-nucleotide ribosomal RNA is filed under the name uncultured bacterium. RNAcentral describes it as "bacterial SSU rRNA". It matches the Rfam family "Bacterial small subunit ribosomal RNA", at positions 29 to 358 of the family's 1533-position model. The record is from RNAcentral.